This 251-nucleotide ribosomal RNA is filed under the name uncultured Streptococcus sp. RNAcentral's name for it is "partial 16S ribosomal RNA". It matches the Rfam family "Bacterial small subunit ribosomal RNA", at positions 93 to 339 of the family's 1533-position model. Lineage: Bacteria; Bacillati; Bacillota; Bacilli; Lactobacillales; Streptococcaceae. The record is from RNAcentral.
UAGUGGCGAACGGGUGAGUAACACGUGGGUAACCUGCCCAUCAGAGGGGGAUAACUAUUGGAAACGAUAGCUAAUACCGCAUAAAAGUUGACAUUGCAUGAUGUUGAUUUGAAAGAUGCAAUUGCAUCACUAAGAGAUGGACCUGCGUUGUAUUAGCUAGUUGGUGAGGUAACGGCUCACCAAGGCGACGAUACAUAGCCGACCUGAGAGGGUGAUCGGCCACACUGGGACUGAGACACGGCCCAGACUCC